Molecule: transfer RNA, 73 nt
Filed under: Omnitrophica bacterium RIFCSPHIGHO2_02_FULL_45_28
Lineage: Bacteria; Pseudomonadati; Candidatus Omnitrophota
Also listed under: 2 other names
Description: tRNA-Thr
Rfam family: tRNA
About the family: Transfer RNA (tRNA) molecules are approximately 80 nucleotides in length. Their secondary structure includes four short double-helical elements and three loops (D, anti-codon, and T loops).
Source: RNAcentral
GCUGGUGUAGCUCAGUUGGCAGAGCAGCUGUUUCGUAAACAGCAGGUCGUCGGUUCGACUCCGACCGCCAGCU